UACGUAGGGGGCAAGCGUUGUCCGGAUUUAUUGGGCGUAAAGAGCUCGUAGGUGGUUCGGUAAGUCGGAUGUGAAAUCUCCAGGCUCAACCUGGAGGGGUCAUUCGAUACUGCCGUGACUAGAGGUCGGUAGGGGAGUGUGGAAUUCCUGGUGGAGCGGUGAAAUGCGUAGAUAUCAGGAGGAACACCCGUAGCGAAGGCGGCACUCUGGGCCGAUACUGACACUGAGGAGCGAAAGCGUGGGGAGCGAACAGG
RNAcentral lists this ribosomal RNA (254 nucleotides) under uncultured bacterium. RNAcentral describes it as "partial 16S ribosomal RNA". It matches the Rfam family "Bacterial small subunit ribosomal RNA", at positions 524 to 776 of the family's 1533-position model. The record is from RNAcentral.